RNAcentral lists this ribosomal RNA (840 nucleotides) under marine metagenome. Its description in RNAcentral is "bacterial SSU rRNA". It matches the Rfam family "Bacterial small subunit ribosomal RNA", at positions 247 to 1103 of the family's 1533-position model. The record is from RNAcentral.
UGUUGGUAGGGUAACGGCCUACCAAGACUGUGAUCAAUAGCUGAUUUGAGAGGAUGAUCAGCCACAUUGGGACUGAGACACGGCCCAAACUCCUACGGGAGGCAGCAGUAAGGAAUCUUGCACAAUGGAGGAAACUCUGAUGCAGCGAUGCCGCGUGAGUGAAGAAGGCCUUUGGGUUGUAAAGCUCUUUCGUCGGGGAAGAAAAUGACUGUACCCGAAUAAGAAGGUCCGGCUAACUUCGUGCCAGCAGCCGCGGUAAUACGAAGGGACCUAGCGUAGUUCGGAAUUACUGGGCUUAAAGAGUUCGUAGGUGGUUAAAAAAGUUGGUGGUGAAAUCCCAGAGCUUAACUCUGGAACUGCCAUCAAAACUUUUUAGCUAGAGUAUGAUAGAGGAAAGCAGAAUUUCUAGUGUAGAGGUGAAAUUCGUAGAUAUUAGAAAGAAUACCAAUUGCGAAGGCAGCUUUCUGGAUCAUUACUGACACUGAGGAACGAAAGCAUGGGUAGCGAAGAGGAUUAGAUACCCUCGUAGUCCAUGCCGUAAACGAUGUGUGUUAGACGUUGGAAAUUUAUUUUCAGUGUCGCAGCGAAAGCGAUAAACACACCGCCUGGGGAGUACGACCGCAAGGUUAAAACUCAAAUGAAUUGACGGGGACCCGCACAAGUAGUGGAGCAUGUGGUUUAAUUCGAAGAUACGCGCAGAACCUUACCAACACUUGACAUGUUCGUCGCGACUUUAAGAGAUUAAAGUUUUCGGUUCGGCCGGACGAAACACAGGUGCUGCAUGGCUGUCGUCAGCUCGUGUCGUGAGAUGUUGGGUUAAGUCCCGCAACGAGCGCAACC